AGAUUGAACGCUGGCGGCAUGCCUAACACAUGCAAGUCGAACGGGAGUAGCAAUACUCUAGUGGCGGACGGGUGAGGAAUACGUAGGAAUUUGCCCUUAAGUGGGGGAUAACCCGGGGAAACCCGGAUUAAUACCGCAUGACCUCGAAAGAGCAAAGUGGGGGAUCGCAAGACCUCACGCUUUUGGAGAAGCCUACGUCGGAUUAGCUAGUUGGUGAGGUAAUGGCUCACCAAGGCGACGAUCCGUAACUGGUCUGAGAGGAUGAUCAGUCACACCGGAACUGAGACACGGUCCGGACUCCUACGGGAGGCAGCAGUGGGGAAUAUUGGACAAUGGGCGCAAGCCUGAUCCAGCAAUGCCGCGUGUGUGAAGAAGGCCUUCGGUUGUAAAGCGACUUUAAGUUAGGGAAGAAAAAACUACGACUCUAACAACAGUGAGUACUUGACGGUACCGAAC
This 456-nucleotide ribosomal RNA is filed under the name uncultured soil bacterium. RNAcentral describes it as "bacterial SSU rRNA". It matches the Rfam family "Bacterial small subunit ribosomal RNA", at positions 26 to 483 of the family's 1533-position model. The record is from RNAcentral.